CCUACGGGUGGCAGCAGUGGGGAAUAUUGCGCAAUGGGCGAAAGCCUGACGCAGCGACGCCGCGUGAGGGAUGAAGGUCUUCGGAUCGUAAACCUCUGUCAGCAGGGAAGAACGGUCACUGUGCUAAUCAGCAGUGAAUUGACGGUACCUGCAAAGGAAGCACCGGCUAACUCCGUGCCAGCAGCCGCGGUAAACCGGAGGGUGCGUGCGUUAAUCGGAAUUUCUGGGCGUAAAGCGCUCGUAGGCGGUAUGUCAAGUCAAGGGUGAAAUCCCCGCGCUCAACGUGGGAACUGCCUGUGAAACUGGCAACCUGGAGUGUGUGAGAGGAUAGUGGAAUUGCAGGUGUAGGAGUGAAAUCCGUAGAUAUCUGGAGGAACAUCAGUGGCGAAGGCGACUAUCUGGCACAUAACUGACGCUGAGGAGCGAAAGCGUGGGUAGCGAACAGGAUUAGAUACCCGGGUAGUC
This 465-nucleotide ribosomal RNA is filed under the name uncultured bacterium. RNAcentral's name for it is "partial 16S ribosomal RNA". It matches the Rfam family "Bacterial small subunit ribosomal RNA", at positions 338 to 795 of the family's 1533-position model. The record is from RNAcentral.